GGAGAUGUACCCAAGAGGCUGAAGGGACCGCUCUCGAAAAGCGGCAGAUCGGUGAUACCGGUGCGUGGGUUCAAAUCCCACCAUCUCCG
This 89-nucleotide transfer RNA is filed under the name Johnsonella ignava. RNAcentral describes it as "tRNA-Ser(cga)". It matches the Rfam family "tRNA". Rfam says of the family: Transfer RNA (tRNA) molecules are approximately 80 nucleotides in length. Their secondary structure includes four short double-helical elements and three loops (D, anti-codon, and T loops). RNAcentral also lists the same sequence under 1 other name. Lineage: Bacteria; Bacillati; Bacillota; Clostridia; Lachnospirales; Lachnospiraceae. The record is from RNAcentral.